RNAcentral lists this ribosomal RNA (252 nucleotides) under uncultured bacterium. Its description in RNAcentral is "partial 16S ribosomal RNA". It matches the Rfam family "Bacterial small subunit ribosomal RNA", at positions 524 to 776 of the family's 1533-position model. The record is from RNAcentral.
UACGUAGGGGGCAAGCGUUGUCCGGAAUCAUUGGGCGUAAAGAGCGUGUAGGCGGCCAGAUAAGUCCGCUGUGAAAACUCGAGGCUCAACUUCGAGCUGUCGGUGGAAACUAUUUGGCUAGAGUCCGGAAGAGGAGAGUGGAAUUCCUGGUGUAGCGGUGAAAUGCGCAGAUAUCAGGAAGAACACCCGUGGCGAAGGGGCUCUCUGGUACGGAACUGACGCUGAGACGCGAAAGCGUGGGGAGCGAACAGG